GCCAGGGAAUUACGAGCCCAAGCUUAAAACCCAAAGGACCUGACGGUACCCCAUCCCCCUAGAGGAGCCUGUUCUAUAAUCGAUAAUCCCCGAUACACCUCACCCCCUCUUGAAUUUUCAGCCUGUAUACCUCCGUCGCAAGCCUACCAUGUGAAUGCAAACUCAGUAAGCCUAAAGACCACCAUACAUACGUCAGGUCAAGGUGCAGCCCAUGAGGCGGGAAGAAAUGGGCUACAAUUUCUAAGUUAGAACAAACGGAAGACUGCAUGCAACACAGUCACAAGGCGGAUUUAGCAGUAAAAAGAAACCAGAGAGUUCUUUUUAACCCGGCCCUGGGGUGUGUACACACCGCCCGUCACCCUCUUCAAUUAC
Molecule: ribosomal RNA, 372 nt
Filed under: Cophixalus sp. RODS-2018
Lineage: Eukaryota; Metazoa; Chordata; Amphibia; Anura; Microhylidae
Description: partial small subunit ribosomal RNA
Rfam family: Bacterial small subunit ribosomal RNA
Source: RNAcentral